CAGCCGCCGCGGGAAUACGAAGGGGGCUAGCGUUGUUCGGAAUCACUGGGCGUAAAGGGUGCGUAGGCGGAUUCUUAAGUCUGAUGUGAAAGCCCCCGGCUCAACCGGGGAGGGUCAUUGGAAACUGGGAAACUUGAGUGCAGAAGAGGAGAGUGGAAUUCCACGUGUAGCGGUGAAAUGCGUAGAGAUGUGGAGGAACACCAGUGGCGAAGGCGACUCUCUGGUCUGUAACUGACGCUGAGGAGCGAAAGCGUGGGGAGCAAACAGGAUUAGAUACCCCGGUAGUCCCUGUCUCUUAUAC
This 301-nucleotide ribosomal RNA is filed under the name uncultured bacterium. Its description in RNAcentral is "partial 16S ribosomal RNA". It matches the Rfam family "Bacterial small subunit ribosomal RNA", at positions 509 to 807 of the family's 1533-position model. The record is from RNAcentral.